AAUCCAUGAUGAGGGCAUUCUGUGACCAUCUCCUUGAAUCUUUCCUAACAUGCAAAAAAUUUCUCAUCCUUCAUUGCCUUGAAAUUUGAGAUCUCAUUUUUCAAUGC
Small nucleolar RNA from Vitis vinifera (wine grape), 107 nucleotides. It matches the Rfam family "Plant small nucleolar RNA R71". Rfam says of the family: R71 is a member of the C/D box family of snoRNAs containing the C (UGAUGA) and D (CUGA) box motifs. NCBI's taxonomy places the organism in Eukaryota, Viridiplantae, Streptophyta, Magnoliopsida, Vitales, Vitaceae. The record is from Rfam.